AGGGAGGAAACUGACUGCCUUCUUGGGGUUCUCUUAACUGAGCUUUGUUUUUCUGCUCUGCAGGAAAGAUGCAACCUGGGCCAGAGGCCCCUGGAGGCUGUGCCUGACCCCAGACAGAUCAGACAAACCCGAGCAGCCAUUAGCAGCUGCAUGGACUCCUUUGCAUUGUGGGGCUGCUCCUGGGGAUAUUUGUGUUGUGAAUGGGUAGAAUCUGAAUGGCAGAAUAUGAAUUUCCAGAUGUUCUUCUUAGAAGAUGCAGUCUGCCACAGCAGGGACCUCUAUCACCCAAAGGGAAACAGCCGUCUAUCUACGAAGCUGUGAUAUCCCCUACAAGCAAGAGAGCUCAAUUGCUGGGAGGUCUUUGCUUUUUCUGGCUUCCGGGAAUGCAGAAAUCUCAGGGAGCCACUACUGGGCUCUUUCCCCAUAGGAUGUUGGGCCAGGCAACAGAACAAACCUCCUGAGGCACUUCUACCUGGGAAUGACCUCCUGAGGCCGAUGGCAGCCCUCUGAUGAAGACACUAUAGUAUUUAUUUUUUGCAAAUGUUGGUGAUCAUCCAGCGUACAUCUCUGCUUAGUGAACCUUCAUGAACUGGAGGUCGAACGUUCUCAUCCUGCCUUGGUAGAACCACGUAGGUUGGUUCCAGGCUGUUUUUUCUGCAACCCUCAACAUGACAAUAAUAGUGAUGAUGAUGCUAAUGAUGA
This 702-nucleotide long non-coding RNA is filed under the name Pongo abelii (Sumatran orangutan). Its description in RNAcentral is "lincRNA". Lineage: Eukaryota; Metazoa; Chordata; Mammalia; Primates; Hominidae. The record is from RNAcentral.